GAUGAACGCUAGCGGCAGGCUUAAUACAUGCAAGUCGAACGGUAGAAGUCUCUUCGGAGGCUUUGAGAGUGGCGCACGGGUGCGUAACGCGUAUGCAACCUGCCUUCAGUUGGGGGAUAGCCCGGGGAAACCCGGAUUAAUACCGCAUAAUACAGGGGCCCCGCAUGGGGAUAUUUGUUAAAGAUUUAUCGACUGAAGAUGGGCAUGCGUCUGAUUAGCUAGUUGGUGAGGUAAUGGCUCACCAAGGCGACGAUCAGUAGGGGAUCUGAGAGGAUGGCCCCCCACACUGGUACUGAGAUACGGACCAGACUCCUACGGGAGGCAGCAGUAAGGAAUAUUGGACAAUGGGCGGAAGCCUGAUCCAGCCAUGCCGCGUGCAGGAAGACGGCCCUAUGGGUUGUAAACUGCUUUUGUAAGGGAAUAAUAAGGCGAACGAGUUUCGCUGAUGAAGGUACCUUACGAAUAAGCAUCGGCUAACUCCGUGCCAGCAGCCGCGGUAAUACGGAGGAUGCAAGCGUUAUCCGGAUUUAUUGGGUUUAAAGGGUGCGUAGGCGGCCUUUUAAGUCAGGGGUGAAAUGUUGCGGCUUAACCGCAGAAUUGCCUUUGAUACUGGGAGGCUUGAAUGAAGUUGAGGUAGGCGGAAUGUGGCAAGUAGCGGUGAAAUGCAUAGAGAUGCCACAGAACACCGAUUGCGAAGGCAGCUUACUAAGCUUUGAUUGACGCUGAGGCACGAAAGCGUGGGGGAUCAAACAGGAUUAGAUACCCUGGUAGUCCACGCAGUAAACGAUGAGAACUAGCUGUUGGCGAUAGAAUGUCAGCGGCACAGCGAAAGCGUUAAGUUCUCCACCUGGGGAGUACGACCGCAAGGUUGAAACUCAAAGGAAUUGACGGGGGCCCGCACAAGCGGAGGAGCAUGUGGUUUAAUUCGAUGAUACGCGAGGAACCUUACCUGGGCUUGAAAGUGAGUGACCGGCGCUGAAAGGCGCCUUCCCUUCGGGGCACAAAACUAGGUGCUGCAUGGCUGUCGUCAGCUCGUGCCGUGAGGUGUUGGGUUAAGUCCCGCAACGAGCGCAACCCCUAUCAUCAGUUGCCAUCAGGUAAAGCUGGGGACUCUGGUGAGACUGCCUGCGCAAGCAGUGAGGAAGGCGGGGACGACGUCAAGUCAUCAUGGCCCUUACGUCCAGGGCUACACACGUGCUACAAUGGCAGCUACAGAGGGCCGCGACCGUGCAAACGGGAGCUAAUCUCAAAAAGGUUGUCACAGUUCGGAUUGAGGUCUGCAACUCGACCUCAUGAAGUUGGAUUCGCUAGUAAUCGCGUAUCAGCAAUGACGCGGUGAAUACGUUCCCGGGCCUUGUACACACCG
Molecule: ribosomal RNA, 1366 nt
Filed under: uncultured bacterium
Lineage: Bacteria
Description: bacterial SSU rRNA
Rfam family: Bacterial small subunit ribosomal RNA
Source: RNAcentral